This 751-nucleotide ribosomal RNA is filed under the name Salmonella enterica subsp. enterica serovar Typhimurium. RNAcentral's name for it is "partial 23S ribosomal RNA". It matches the Rfam family "Bacterial large subunit ribosomal RNA", at positions 1918 to 2668 of the family's 2925-position model. The record is from RNAcentral. Lineage: Bacteria; Pseudomonadati; Pseudomonadota; Gammaproteobacteria; Enterobacterales; Enterobacteriaceae.
CCCCGGUAAACGGCGGCCGUAACUAUAACGGUCCUAAGGUAGCGAAAUUCCUUGUCGGGUAAGUUCCGACCUGCACGAAUGGCGUAAUGAUGGCCAGGCUGUCUCCACCCGAGACUCAGUGAAAUUGAACUCGCUGUGAAGAUGCAGUGUACCCGCGGCAAGACGGAAAGACCCCGUGAACCUUUACUAUAGCUUGACACUGAACAUUGAGCCUUGAUGUGUAGGAUAGGUGGGAGGCUUUGAAGUGUGGACGCCAGUCUGCAUGGAGCCGACCUUGAAAUACCACCCUUUAAUGUUUGAUGUUCUAACGUGGACCCGUAAUCCGGGUUGCGGACAGUGUCUGGUGGGUAGUUUGACUGGGGCGGUCUCCUCCUAAAGAGUAACGGAGGAGCACGAAGGUUGGCUAAUCCUGGUCGGACAUCAGGAGGUUAGUGCAAUGGCAUAAGCCAGCUUGACUGCGAGCGUGACGGCGCGAGCAGGUGCGAAAGCAGGUCAUAGUGAUCCGGUGGUUCUGAAUGGAAGGGCCAUCGCUCAACGGAUAAAAGGUACUCCGGGGAUAACAGGCUGAUACCGCCCAAGAGUUCAUAUCGACGGCGGUGUUUGGCACCUCGAUGUCGGCUCAUCACAUCCUGGGGCUGAAGUAGGUCCCAAGGGUAUGGCUGUUCGCCAUUUAAAGUGGUACGCGAGCUGGGUUUAGAACGUCGUGAGACAGUUCGGUCCCUAUCUGCCGUGGGCGCUGGAGAACUGAGGG